AGUGAACGCUGGCGGUAGGCUUAACACAUGCAGGUCGAACGGCAGCACAGUAAGAGCUUGCCCUUACGGGUGGCGGGUGGCGGACGGGGGAGGAAAACAUCGGAAUCUAUUUUUUCGUGGGGGAUAACGUAGGGAAACUACCGCUAAUACCGCAUACGACCAACGGGGGAAAGCAGGGGAUUUUCGGACUUUGCGCGAUUGAUUGAGCCGAUGUCGGAUUAGCUAGUUGGCGGGGUAAAGGCCCACCAAGGCGACGAUCCGUAGCUGGUCUGAGAGGAUGAUCAGCCACACUGGAACUGAGACACGGUCCAGACUCCUACGGGAGGCAGCAGUGGGGAAUAUUGGACAAUGGGCGCAAGCCUGAUCCAGCCAUACCGCGUGGGUGAAGAAGGCCUUCGGGUUGUAAAGCCCUUUUGUUGGGAAAGAAAAGCAGCAGGUUAAUACCCCGCUGUUCUGACGGUACCCAAAGAAUAAGCACCGGCUAACUUCGUG
RNAcentral lists this ribosomal RNA (492 nucleotides) under uncultured bacterium. Its description in RNAcentral is "partial 16S ribosomal RNA". It matches the Rfam family "Bacterial small subunit ribosomal RNA", at positions 29 to 507 of the family's 1533-position model. The record is from RNAcentral.